RNAcentral lists this ribosomal RNA (506 nucleotides) under uncultured bacterium. Its description in RNAcentral is "bacterial SSU rRNA". It matches the Rfam family "Bacterial small subunit ribosomal RNA", at positions 24 to 518 of the family's 1533-position model. The record is from RNAcentral.
UUAGGAUGAACGCUAGCGAUAGGCCUAACACAUGCAAGUCGAGGGCAGCACAGUGAAGUAGCAAUACAGAUGGUGGCGACCGGCGCACGGGUGAGUAACACGUAUGCAACCUACCUUCAACAGGAGAAUAACCCGGCGAAAGUCGGACUAAUACUCCAUAAUACAGGGAUCCCGCAUGGGAAUAUUUGUUAAAGAUUUAUCGGUUGAAGAUGGGCAUGCGUUCCAUUAGCUAGUUGGUGAGGUAACGGCUCACCAAGGCAACGAUGGAUAGGGGAACUGAGAGGUUUAUCCCCCACACUGGUACUGAGACACGGACCAGACUCCUACGGGAGGCAGCAGUGAGGAAUAUUGGUCAAUGGAGGCAACUCUGAACCAGCCACGUCCGCGUGAAGGAUGACGGCCCUACGGGUUGUAAACUUCUUUUGUAAGGGAAUAAAGUUUAGUACGUGUACUAUUUUGCAUGUACCUUACGAAUAAGGAUCGGCUAACUCCGUGCCAGCAGCUGC